AUGAAGCUUUUAAUGGAAAAGAGGAAUUUAGAGAGCAGGCUAUCUCAGAAUAAGCAUUCACCUACAGAUUUGGUACCUGGUUUUCUGUCCAUGGUGAUUUCUAUCACCUUACUACUGAAGAAGAUACCAUCCCAGUGGACCACUGUGACCCAAGGGACAUUCAACCAUCAUGAUGUGGUCUUCACCUCCACUCCUGUCUUUUUCUACCCAGAUGGAGCACCACCCUUUA
Molecule: non-coding RNA, 229 nt
Organism: Myotis lucifugus (little brown bat)
Lineage: Eukaryota; Metazoa; Chordata; Mammalia; Chiroptera; Vespertilionidae
Source: Rfam